RNAcentral lists this ribosomal RNA (609 nucleotides) under Triticum aestivum (bread wheat). RNAcentral describes it as "partial small subunit ribosomal RNA". The record is from RNAcentral. Lineage: Eukaryota; Viridiplantae; Streptophyta; Magnoliopsida; Poales; Poaceae.
AUGUUUACCAUCAUGGUUGUGAAGGGUGGUAAAGAGCCGCCACAAUUUAUAAAGGAUGUGUUGAAACAACUAUCCACCAUCCCCAAACAAAUUGAGGAGUGGAAGAAAUCAUCCGCCCGGACUGGUGCGAUGAUGUCACUUAGUCGCGCCAAAGCUUUUUUGCCAGAGAUGGAGACGGCUGAGAUGCUUGGCGGCUUUCAUGAAUUCAAUGUUGACGGCACUCAGUUUUUUGCAAUAGACUAUGCCCGCUGCAUGAAGGAAACGCGCGUCUUGGCGAGUCAACUAGUUCAAGAUCUUGAUUUGAACAAGUAUCAGCCAACUUAUAAUGAGGAGAACGCACGAGUUAAGCCGCCAACCAUUGAACCUUUUGACCUGACUCCUGCACGGCGUAAGCAUAUCUUCGCUCCUGAUGUCGAUCCAUCAAUUAUCAUGCAAGUCGAUGCCAUCUUCCAAGCAUUAACAACUAUCGACUGGGAUCUGAACAACCUUCAGAUCGGAGAAGAAGAAGAGCCGGUGCAGGAUAAGCCAGAGGCUUCAAACACGGAAGAUCUUCAAGAAGGUGUCAACCGGGAAAGAGACAACCCGGAGGGCACAGAGGCCGGCUUAUAG